GAACCAGAGAAUUGAUGAGUUUGUUGUAAGACAGUAUCUUCUAGUAACAACAGAAGCUGCACACAUAAUGUCUUACCAGCAUAAAUACCUAAAGAUGAGCUAAACAUGGAAAAUAAUAGUCAUGCCAAAGUGGAUGGGGGAGAAAGAAACAUGAAAUCCCAAGCUCACACGAAGUACUACAGGCAACUAAGAGUGGGAGAAACAGUUUUACACACAGCAUACCAAUCGAUUACUCAAUAUUAAGUUCUGGCCAGGAAAUACCAUGAAAGUACUAUGCAGGUUGCUAGCAGAAGGAAACAAAUUAUUAUAAAACUAUUUGUGUUUAAACAAUUAGCAUAAAAUACUUUUAAGAAGGUGAGAAUAACAAAAUUAGACAUGUAUAACAUUUAGAGAUGUUUAUAAGGUAGCAGGUUCAUUGCUGAAUUUUUAAGAAGUUGGUAAUUACGUAGUAAUAGUUAAUACAUCACUGUCUCCUAGCAGUCUUUUAAUCUGUAUGUCUUCUUACUGCAGUAUACAUAUUACGCUCUGCAAACCCACCUCGUCCUUUCAUUUUCUGUUGCUAGGGUUUUUUGUUUGUUUGUUUGUUUUGUUUUAUUUUAUUUAUUUUUUUUUUUGUGACACAAUCUCUCUGUAUUCUGGCUGCCCUAGAACUUGCUCUCAAGAUCAGAAUUUGAAUUUACGAAGAUCAAACUGCCUCUGCAUCCAAGUCCUGGGAUUAAAGUCAUGUGUCACCAUACCUAGAAACUCAUCAGUUGCUGAAGGCUCAUCGAUAUGAUAACAUGAAGGACCUGUGACCUGGAUCAAUGGCAAACAGAGCUGAGAAAAAUAAUGCUGAAACCACCGCAGAGAACAUUGUGACUGAGACUCAUUGUAAACCUGCAUUUGGUUGAAUCUGUGUGGAUGUAAC
This 907-nucleotide long non-coding RNA is filed under the name Rattus norvegicus (Norway rat). RNAcentral's name for it is "long non-coding RNA NONRATT032236". Lineage: Eukaryota; Metazoa; Chordata; Mammalia; Rodentia; Muridae. The record is from RNAcentral.